Molecule: ribosomal RNA, 760 nt
Filed under: Parcubacteria group bacterium GW2011_GWC1_43_11
Lineage: Bacteria
Description: bacterial SSU rRNA
Rfam family: Bacterial small subunit ribosomal RNA
Source: RNAcentral
UGAGAAUUUGAUCCUGGUUCAGGAUGAACGCUGGCGGCGUGGAUUAGGCAUGCAAGUCGAGCGGGCUUGCCUCCGCAAGGAGGCGAGUCAGCGGCGAACGAGUUAGUAACACGUAGGAACUUGCCUCAAAGACGGGUAUAACCCCGCGAAAGCGGGGCUAAUUCCCGAUAGUCUCCGACCCUCGCAAGAGGCGUCGGAGUAAAGGUGCGCAAGCGCCACUUUGAGAGAGGCCUGCGGGCUAUCAGCUAGUUGGUGAGGUAAUGGCUCACCAAGGCGAUGACGGCUAGGGGGCGUGAGAGCGCGUUCCCCAACGCAAGGGACUGAGACACGGCCCUGACUCCUACGGGAGGCAGCAGUCUAGAAGAUUUCGCAAUGGGGGAAACCCUGACGAAGCGACGCCGCGUGCAGGAAGAAGGCCCUCGGGUUGUAAACUGCUUUUGACAGGGAAGAAGUCCCGCUCAGCGGGACUGACGGUACCUGUAGAAUAAGGCGCUGCUAACUUCGUGCCAGCAGCAGCGGUAAUACGAAGGCGCCAAGCGUUAUCCGGAUUUAUUGGGCGUAAAGAGUUCAAAGGGGGUUGGGUUAGUCCGAUGUUAAAGCUUCCGACUCAAUCGGAAAAAUGCAUUGGAAACGGCCCGACUUGAGAAAAUCAGAGGCAAAUGGAACGGCCGGUGUAGGGGUGAAAUCCGUUGAUAUCGGCCGGAACACCAAAGGCGAAGGCAUUUUGCUGGGAUUUUUCUGACCCUGAAAGAACGAAAGC